This 78-nucleotide transfer RNA is filed under the name Codium arabicum. Its description in RNAcentral is "tRNA-Met". It matches the Rfam family "tRNA". Rfam says of the family: Transfer RNA (tRNA) molecules are approximately 80 nucleotides in length. Their secondary structure includes four short double-helical elements and three loops (D, anti-codon, and T loops). Further hydrogen bonds mediate the characteristic L-shaped molecular structure. tRNAs have two regions of fundamental functional importance: the anti-codon, which is responsible for specific mRNA codon recognition, and the 3' end, to which the tRNAs corresponding amino acid is attached (by aminoacyl-tRNA synthetases). tRNAs cope with the degeneracy of the genetic code in two manners: having more than one tRNA (with a specific anti-codon) for a particular amino acid; and 'wobble' base-pairing, i.e. permitting non-standard base-pairing at the 3rd anti-codon position. Lineage: Eukaryota; Viridiplantae; Chlorophyta; Ulvophyceae; Bryopsidales; Codiaceae. The record is from RNAcentral.
GCAUGUAUGGCUGAGUGGUUAAAAGCGACAGACUCAUAAUCUGUUUUUAGAACGUAGGUUCAAAUCCUACUACAUGCA